Molecule: ribosomal RNA, 236 nt
Filed under: uncultured bacterium
Lineage: Bacteria
Description: partial 16S ribosomal RNA
Rfam family: Bacterial small subunit ribosomal RNA
Source: RNAcentral
CCGCACGGGUGAGUAACACGUAUCCAACCUGCCGUCUACUCUUGGACAGCCUUCUGAAAGGAAGAUUAAUACAAGAUGGCAUCAUGAGUCCACAUGUUCACAUGAUUAAAGGUAUUCCGGUAGACGAUGGGGAUGCGUUCCAUUAGAUAGUAGGCGGGGUAACGGCCCACCUAGUCUUCGAUGGAUAGGGGUUCUGAGAGGAAGGUCCCCCACAUUGGAACUGAGACACGGUCCAA